ACCGGUGUGCUCCCGGGAGAGCAGACUGCCUCCAAAACAGUCGCACAGGGUUCAACUCCUUGCGCCGGUG
RNAcentral lists this transfer RNA (70 nucleotides) under Planctomycetota bacterium. Its description in RNAcentral is "Planctomycetes bacterium (activated sludge metagenome) tRNA-Trp". Lineage: Bacteria; Pseudomonadati; Planctomycetota. The record is from RNAcentral.